This 466-nucleotide ribosomal RNA is filed under the name uncultured bacterium. Its description in RNAcentral is "partial 16S ribosomal RNA". It matches the Rfam family "Bacterial small subunit ribosomal RNA", at positions 28 to 507 of the family's 1533-position model. The record is from RNAcentral.
GACGAACGCUGGCGGCGCGCCUAACACAUGCAAGUCGAACGAGCGAGAGAGAGCUUGCUUUCUUGAGCGAGUGGCGAACGGGUGAGUAACGCGUGAGGAACCUGCCUCAAAGAGGGGGACAACAGUUGGAAACGACUGCUAAUACCGCAUAAGCCCACGACCCGGCAUCGGGUUGAGGGAAAAGGAGCAAUCCGCUUUGAGAUGGCCUCGCGUCCGAUUUGCUAGUUGGUGAGGUAACGGCCCACCAAGGCGACGAUCGGUAGCCGGACUGAGAGGUUGAACGGACACAUUGGGACUGAGACACGGCCCAGACUCCUACGGGAGGCAGCAGUGGGGAAUAUUGCACCAUGGGGGAAACCCUGAUGCAGCGACGACGCGUGGAGGAAGAAGGUCUUCGGAUUGUAAACUCCUGUUGUUGAGGAAGAUAAUGACGGUACUCAACAAGGAAGUGACGGCUAACUACGUG